CAAAAUAGCCUUAAUCAUGCCUUGCAUGUGUCUAAAAGAGGUGUCGUGGCGUCACAUGUGUCUUGAGUGACUGACUCUAUUUGAUCAUAUUUUUCCCAUUUAGGUAUGGAGCAAUUUGCUAGAGUCUGAGCAUGACAACCCAGGACCACUGCAUCUUGGAGCUGCUUAUAGAUACUUUUAUGCUUUGGGUCUGUCAGUCAUGUUGUCUUUUAAUUAUUAGUCUUGUACAAUAGUAUCGAGUCUGUCAGUCUAGUUAAGAUUUUUGAGUCUUUUGUUAU
RNAcentral lists this long non-coding RNA (278 nucleotides) under Nicotiana benthamiana. RNAcentral's name for it is "long non-coding RNA (NBEN_LNC041982)". Lineage: Eukaryota; Viridiplantae; Streptophyta; Magnoliopsida; Solanales; Solanaceae. The record is from RNAcentral.